GAUGAACGCUAGCGGCAGGCCUAACACAUGCAAGUCGAGGGAGAGGUUAUCUUCGGGUAACCAAAACCGGCGCACGGGUGCGUAACGCGUAUACAAUCUGCCUUUCACAUAGGGAUAGCCCGAAGAAAUUUGGAUUAAUACCUAAUGGUAUAUAAGAGCGGCAUCGUUUUUAUAUUAAAGCUACGGUGGUGAAAGAUGAGUAUGCGUUCUAUUAGCUAGUUGGAGAGGUAACGGCUCCCCAAGACGACGAUAGAUAGGGGUUCUGAGAGGGAUGUCCCCCACACUGGUACUGAGAUACGGACCAGACUCCUACGGGAGGCAGCAGUGAGGAAUAUUGGACAAUGGUCGGAAGACUGAUCCAGCCAUGCCGCGUGCAGGAUGAAGGUCCUAUGGAUUGUAAACUGCUUUUGUAAGGGAAGAAUAAGGAGUACGUGUACUUUGAUGACGGUACCUUACGAAUAAGCAUCGGCUAACUCCGUGCCAGCAGCCGCGGUAAUACGGAGGAUGCGAGCGUUAUCCGGAAUCAUUGGGUUUAAAGGGUCCGUAGGCGGGCUGAUAAGUCAGAGGUGAAAGCGCUUAGCUCAACUAAGCAACUGCCUUUGAAACUGUCAGUCUUGAAUGAUUGUGAAGUAGUUGGAAUGUGUAGUGUAGCGGUGAAAUGCUUAGAUAUUACACAGAACACCGAUAGCGAAGGCAUAUUACUAACAAUUUAUUGACGCUGAUGGACGAAAGCGUGGGGAGCGAACAGG
Molecule: ribosomal RNA, 749 nt
Filed under: uncultured Capnocytophaga sp.
Lineage: Bacteria; Pseudomonadati; Bacteroidota; Flavobacteriia; Flavobacteriales; Flavobacteriaceae
Description: bacterial SSU rRNA
Rfam family: Bacterial small subunit ribosomal RNA
Source: RNAcentral